Small nuclear RNA from Hyla sarda, 197 nucleotides. RefSeq annotates it as U2 spliceosomal RNA. The transcript has a single exon. NCBI's taxonomy places the organism in Eukaryota, Metazoa, Chordata, Amphibia, Anura, Hylidae. The record is from RefSeq and is a predicted model, not a curated record.
AUUAAAUUGUGCCUUAUUUUUCAUGGCUACGAUCAUGUGUAGUGUCUGUUCUUAGCAGUUUAAUACCUGAUAUGUCCCCUAUCUGGGGAAAAUAUAUUAUAUGGAUUUUUGAGAACGUGGGCAGAUUUCGAAGCUUGCUUCCGUCGCCCCAUGCAUUGACCCGAUAUGACAGUAUCUUCAGGUACAGUGCACCUAAA